UCCUUAGGAUAUGAUGCUGGAG
Molecule: non-coding RNA, 22 nt
Filed under: Mus musculus (house mouse)
Lineage: Eukaryota; Metazoa; Chordata; Mammalia; Rodentia; Muridae
Source: RNAcentral